This 492-nucleotide ribosomal RNA is filed under the name uncultured bacterium. RNAcentral describes it as "partial 16S ribosomal RNA". It matches the Rfam family "Bacterial small subunit ribosomal RNA", at positions 29 to 507 of the family's 1533-position model. The record is from RNAcentral.
AGUGAACGCUGGCGGUAGGCCUAACACAUGCAAGUCGAACGGCAGCACAGUAAGAGCUUGCUCUUACGGGUGGCGAGUGGCGGACGGGUGAGGAAUACAUCGGAAUCUACUUUUUCGUGGGGGAUAACGUAGGGAAACUUACGCUAAUACCGCAUACGACCUACGGGUGAAAGCAGGGGAUCUUCGGACCUUGCGCGAUUGAAUGAGCCGAUGUCGGAUUAGCUAGUUGGCGGGGUAAAGGCCCACCAAGGCGACGAUCCGUAGCUGGUCUGAGAGGAUGAUCAGCCACACUGGAACUGAGACACGGUCCAGACUCCUACGGGAGGCAGCAGUGGAGAAUAUUGGACAAUGGGCGCAAGCCUGAUCCAGCCAUACCGCGUGGGUGAAGAAGGCCUUCGGGUUGUAAAGCCCUUUUGUUGGGAAAGAAAAGCAGCAGGUUAAUACCCCGCUGUUCUGACGGUACCCAAAGAACAAGCACCGGCUAACUUCGUG